Oryza sativa Japonica Group (Japanese rice) is the source of this 2804-nucleotide non-coding RNA. The record is from RefSeq and is a predicted model, not a curated record. Lineage: Eukaryota; Viridiplantae; Streptophyta; Magnoliopsida; Poales; Poaceae.
UCAAUUAAAUUUAAUUAAUCUAUGUAUGCAUUGGAUACAAUCUAUCUAUCUAUCUAUCUAUCUAUACCUAUACUAAUUGGGCACUUUCUACGAACUCUCACGUUAAUCAGAAAGAUCUGGCCAUUGAUUAAAUCACUUUCUACGAACUCUCACGUUAAUCAGAAAGAUCUGGCCAUCUAUACCUAUACUAAUUGGGCACUUUCUACGAACUCUCACGUUAAUCAGAAAGAUCUGGCCAUUGAUUAAAUCACUUUCUACGAACUCUCACGUUAAUCAGAAAGAUCUGGCCAUUGAUUAAAUAAAUGAUAUUAUCAUCCCUGUAGAUUGUAAAUUCCAUGUGUGUUUAACUUUGUGGGCCACGUGUAAAUUAAACCAAUCUAACACCACCUCACGAAGGAACAGAUAAGAGAGGAUAUGCGAGAGGCAAUAAUAUUUCUGUUGCUGUUGAGCGUUAAGUACAUGAUUAGAUCUAUCUAUAAUUCACAACACAAUAAGAGAAGAAAAUCAACGAAGCAUGCAACACCUUGGGCGUCAAUAGAGAGACAUGGAAAAGGAAUCAAAGCCAGCGCGGCAAGACGAUUAAUUCUUCAGGCAAGCCGCUCACGUCUAUGGAAAGCAUCGAUGCAGCUUACGCCGAUGCUCACAUCAAGUCGCCACUCGACGUCGAUGUCGCCGAGUCGCCUCGGCUUCUGCCGCUGCAAUGUCCGCGCCUGCCAAAGCUGUGGCAUCUCGGUGCGAGCCUAGGGCGCCGCUGCUUCAUAUGCCGGUGACGAUGUACGCUGACCACACGGCCAUGUCCUUGCAGGCUGUUGUUGCAGGCAAAUGCAUGUAUGCAUGAUUCAUUUCCGUAUCCAUCAGCCAAGCUAAUUGCCUGGCUGAAUCAUAUGGACGGACUAAGACAGACACAUGGUGCAUGUAUAGGAUCAAGAUGUUGAAGGCUUAAUCCAACAAGAUUUCGGCUCUCCCAACGCUCCGGUGUAUUUCAAGAUAGUCGCCAAGGUCCCUCUAGCCGCAGAGCAAGGCAAGUCAUCCUUGUCACUUGAAUAUAUUGAUCCCAUAUUGCAAAUGCUCUAUGUUUUCCUUUAAGUUAUGCAUUGUUUUAUAAUGUUACUAAAUGGGAUGUUGUACCUACUGUUCUCAGCCCUAUUAUUUUUGUACCUUAUUCCUUUGUAAACUUGGGAUGUAACAUGACUAGAUGUUGGAUUAGGAAUUGCUUAGCCAUGCUUAGUUCAACUACCCUAGCUGUUCCUGGAUAGUGGUUUAAUGCACGUUCUGCUUGGAAUUCUGGUUUGUGAAUUUUUGGGGCAUGGUGUGACAUAGAAAAUUAUUUUUUCUCAUCAAGUCUAUGGUAACUAGGCUGAUGGUCUGAACAGAAUUGAGCAGUCCAGGUAGCCAAGCCACUCUCCAACUAGCAGUUGAGGUAGUCAGAUUGCCAGGAUCAUAGUUUUUUUGGGAUUAGUUUUCUAACUUCAUAGACUACGCAGUAAUACGUUUAGAUUUUAGUUUAGGCAGCCAAUCACUACUCUUUAGUUAUCAUAGAUUAGCAGUUUCUUUCCCAAAAAGAAAGAGAGCCAUGCAUGGCAUUUUCAUAACCAUAAUUAAAGAUAAGAAGCUUAGACCUGGGAGCCUUUCUCAAAAUAGGUGCAAAAAUUGCAGACAUAAUGGAUGGCCUGCAUAAUGCCCGUAGCCCCAUGCACAAUUCCACUCUCAACCGCAAAAACCACGUAGUUUCCUAUUUUCCCUGACUCUCCCAGCGAACAAUUGCUGACUUCUUCCACUAGAUGUUUCCUGUUCAUGGCUCCCCGCAUUUUUUGGCUCCAUGUUCGUACCCCAUUUCAUAUUAAAACUCAUAGAACAGUCCACUGCGAUGGAUGAGGACCAGAUGACGAACCAAGAAUUACUGUUUAAAGCUUCAUAAAAACAUAAAGGAAAAGAAUGGUACAUACUUUGCUGAAGAGAUGGCUCCUUUGUUUCUAUCAGCAAUCCUUUCGGCCCUAUUGGUAGCAUCCUCUACUCGUGGUACCGUGGCCAUUGGGUUAUUCCAGGUGCGCCGCAAAUUCUCUAUCAUGGGCGGUGGGUGUAAGGGGAGUGACAUAGGUGCAUUACAAACCCACGAUAGGAACCGCCAUCUUAGUCGCCUUGUGGCUGCGGACUUCUCACUUGGUGGCCUUGGUGGCAUCAGCACAUCCAGCACAGGGUAUAUGCUUCAAUGUUCCUUUGGUUCUAUCCAUUUCUUCUUGGUAGGUUGGCUUAUUACGAUCUGAUAGAGUUUGACACAGACUAUACUACACGGAGAUAGGGAUUGGGACACCCGCAAUGGAAUACUAUGUGCAGGUGGACACUGGCAGCAGUGCAUUUUGGGUUAACUGCAUCCCCUGCAAGCAAUGCCCUCGCAAGAGCGAUAUAUUGAAAAAGCUGACAUUAUAUGACCCUAGGAGCUCAGUAAGUUAAAAAGUGGUGAAAUGUGAUGAUAUGUUCUGCACUUCGCCCGAUAGGGAUGUGCAGCCAGAAUGCAACACAAGCUUACUUUGUCCAUUCAUCGCGACCUAUGCUGAUGGUGGAUCAACAAUAGGCGCCUUUGUCACUGAUCUUGUGCACUAUAAUCAACUCUCUGGGAAUGGGCUGACUCAAUCAACUAACACCAGCCUCACAUUCGGGUGAGUUGUGUCCAUUGAAGAAAUUUUUGUAUGUGAAAUUUUUUGAAUUAGAACUGAAGUGUACGAUUGUAAAAUACCGUUGAUAGACAAUAGUUCAACAACAUGCCAUCUUACGUGCAAUAAUACUCUUUCUUUUUUGCCAUCACA